Molecule: ribosomal RNA, 253 nt
Filed under: uncultured bacterium
Lineage: Bacteria
Description: partial 16S ribosomal RNA
Rfam family: Bacterial small subunit ribosomal RNA
Source: RNAcentral
UACGUAGGGGGCAAGCGUUAUCCGGAUUUACUGGGUGUAAAGGGGGCGCAGACGGCGAUGCAAGCCAGGAGUGAAAGCCCGGGGCCCAACCCCGGGACUGCUCUGGAAACUGCGGCGCUGGAGUACGGGAGGGGCAGGCGGAAUUCCUGGUGUAGCGGUGAAAUGCGUAGAUAUCAGGAGGAACACCGGCGGCGAAGGCGGCCUGCUGGACCGCGACUGACGUUGAGGCUCGAGAGCGUGGGGAGCAAACAGG